This is a long non-coding RNA of Lucilia cuprina (Australian sheep blowfly), 426 nucleotides long. RefSeq lists it as uncharacterized. Lineage: Eukaryota; Metazoa; Arthropoda; Insecta; Diptera; Calliphoridae. The transcript has 2 exons. The record is from RefSeq and is a predicted model, not a curated record.
UAUUUUUAAUUUUUUUUUUUUAAUUUUUUUACGAUAUUAACAAACAUCAUGUUUCAGCAGCAGCUGGUACUGAUGGGUUGAGGAUGGAUGUAAAUGGUGCUGGUUGUUGUUGGUGCUAUUGAUGUGACUCUGGUAGCCAGCAUAAAGAGGUAUACAUACAUAAAGGAUGUGUGAUGCGCAUGCAUAAUUUUGUUUAUAUUUUUCUGCUUUUUAUUUACUCCGUCAUCGACACAUUUGGACGGUGAUUUUUGAAACAUUUAACAGGCGACUACGUGUGUCAUCUGUCGUAGACAACAAAUAAAAUUGUUUAAAUAUUCCAUAAACGUAAUUAAAAUUAAAUUAUAAACAAAAUAAUUAAAACAACAACAACAACUUCCAUAAUACAUAAUAUAAUUAGUCAGCAGCCAAAAGCGGAAGGAACCAGAA